GAUGAAGAACGUAGCGAAAUGCGAUAAGUAAUGUGAAUUGCAGAAUUCAGUGAAUCAUCGAAUCUUUGAACGCACAUUGCGCCCGGUAGUAUUCUGCCGGGCAUGCCUGUUCGAGCGUCAUUUCAACCAUCAAGCCCCAGCGCUUGUGUUGGGGGCCUGCGGCUGCCGCAGCCCCCUAAAAGCAGUGGCGGGCUCGCUAUCACACCGAGUGCAGUAGUUCAUCUUCUCUCCGGUCUGGUGAGGCGGGUUCCGGCCGUGAAACACCCCACUACAUUUCAAGGUUGACCUCGGAUCAGGUAGGAAUACCCGCUGAACUUAAGCAUAUCAAUAAGCGGAGGA
This 339-nucleotide unclassified non-coding RNA is filed under the name soil metagenome. Its description in RNAcentral is "partial contains 5.8S ribosomal RNA, internal transcribed spacer 2, and large subunit ribosomal RNA". The stretch from base 1 to 120 matches the Rfam family "5.8S ribosomal RNA", at positions 35 to 154 of the family's 154-position model. The record is from RNAcentral.